AGUCCCUGGGAAAUGGGAGCCUCCGUCCUGUUCUCUCUGCUGCUUGGCUGGGCUGGGCUGGGCAGGGCAGGAAAGCCAGGGUCCCCACCCCUCCUGGAGCAGAGCACUCCGCGCUGGCUGUUCCGGGGGCCCGGGAGGGCAGAGCUGUCAGAAGGUCUGUCUGGCAUCAUUAGGGGAGCUGUCUGUCUCUCUAUCCCUGGCUGGCGUGGCCCGGCAGGAGGCGAGGCUGAUAUUUUCAGGAGACCUGGUGAUUUGACCUGACACCUGUCAGUCAGUCUCCGGUAUGUCAUUAUCAGCAGUGUGAAAAUGGACUCACUCCCACCCUGUCUGGAUCUGGACAAGAGCCCACCACCCCGUUGGCAGUAGUCAGGCAGCUCUGCUUCUAAGAACCUGCAGCUUUUGGAAGAAAGGCACCCUGUGGUUUCAGAAGCCCAAGAGUCCCUGCAGCUCAGCACCCCCAGCCUGGUGCUUGGCAGAUGACUGCCUCCUCACUUAGCAGAGGGAGCAGAAAACUGUGUAUUCUUCAGAACAUCAUGAUAACCUGGCACUCAUGGGUCUAUGGAGAGAAUUCAGGGGGUCUGGGAGCUUGGAUGGAAUAAAUUUGCAUCUUUAUUUUCAGGAAAGUUUUACUGAAGUUUAGCAUUUUCUUUCAUUAUAAAUGGAAUCAGUAUAACCCAAUAGUAUGAGCAGUUACUUCUCCGCAACAUCAAAGUGGCUGCAGAUAUCUCAAAAUAGUAUUUACAUUUAUCAUAACUUAGAAAUUUGGGUGGUAAUUAAACCAGCAACUAUUCUUUGUUUAAUGCAUUAAGAAAGAAGUAUGUAUACUAUCAUAUCUCAAUUAAAAAUAUUUUAAGAACUGGAUUUUAACUU
Molecule: long non-coding RNA, 870 nt
Organism: Homo sapiens (human)
Lineage: Eukaryota; Metazoa; Chordata; Mammalia; Primates; Hominidae
Source: Ensembl